Molecule: small RNA, 126 nt
Filed under: Marmota monax (woodchuck)
Lineage: Eukaryota; Metazoa; Chordata; Mammalia; Rodentia; Sciuridae
Source: RNAcentral
GCCGGGCACGGUGGCGCACGCCUGUAAUCCCAGAGGCUCAGGAGGCUGAGACGGGAGGAUCGCGAGUUCAAAGCCAGCCUCAGCAACCAGUGAGGCACUAAGCAACUCAGUGAGACCCUGUCUCUA